Non-coding RNA from Aegilops tauschii subsp. strangulata, 1643 nucleotides. The record is from RefSeq and is a predicted model, not a curated record. Lineage: Eukaryota; Viridiplantae; Streptophyta; Magnoliopsida; Poales; Poaceae.
UCGUGGGCGGCGGAGCGGUGGGGGGGAGGGGGGAGAUGCAGGGGUGGCGGCCGCACGCCCUGCAGCCCGAUCUGGCGGCGGCGCCGGUGCCGGCACGCGCCCUAGUUUAGCCACUGGACUGGCGACCUUCUCGAGCAGCAGGGGCGUUCAUGUACUAAUUUCUAAUGCCAGGCAUUUGCGGUUCGUUUUUUUGGGGGGUAAUCUUAGUUGUUCGUCUAGAUGUAGUGUAGAGUUGCAUGUGCUUGUCUUCGCCGUGCGCUCGGUUGGUUUAUCAGCAAAGUUAAGAUGCGCAGCCAAUAGUUCAUUAGUUACGAUUUUCUGGCAGUUUACAGCGGUUGUAUUUUCGGCGUAUAGUUAGUCAGGCGUAACUUUCUGCCCUGUAAUGCUGUUCUUUCUUACAAUCUUCUGUCCAUGUAUGUUGUGUGCCUUCCCCUCUAUUUCCACUGUUCUAUUGUGUAAUUGUCCUGUCACUAAAAUUGAGUUUUGUCUCUCAUGUUCUGAAUUUCCUCUUUUUCCUGCACUUUUGCUUCACGGUUCAUUGUAAUUUCAAUAGCAUUUCUGCGGCUGUUGUUGACCAUCUUUCAAGUUUAUUUUUGUACUAGUAUUUGAGAUCUGUCCAUCAUUUACUAUCAUGUGGAACUCUUUUCACAGUUAAAAUGACCAUGAUUCACUGUGUCCAGUAGUCGGGUUUAAAGUUUGCUUACAGCUCUAGUACACUUCUAUUACACUUACUGAGGACUUGUAUUUCUUCUUUUUAGGUCAGUGUAAUUUGGUAUUCUCUGUGUUUUGUUGUUCCUAUGAUCUGUCGCUCUGUCAGCCUUUGUAAUUUGCGCCUAUGUUAUGUUACAGUACCUGACGACGUUAACUGUAACUCCCUUUCCUUAGAACUGUAACUACUGUAGUAACACAUCCUUUUUCAUUGUCUAAGUUGGGUAAUUUCAUACCCUUAUUCCUUCUAUAAUUUCUUCCCUGCAUGUGAAUGUAUAGCACACAGAUGUACAAGACUUUUUUUUUACAGUCCUCUAGUAACCGAGUUACUCUUGUGUGUUUGUUCCUAUACUGUAAUUGUUUCGGCGCACACUACCAUGACUUAAUGUUUACAAUAGCUGUUUGCUUUGACUCUGAUAGUCGUUGUAUGUUUUCUUCAGAGGUACUAUUGGUUGCUUGCAGAUGGAUGCUGACCAAAGCUUCUUGGACACCCUUGGUUUUGGUUACACGCAAACACAACCAGAAAGUCCAAUUGGAGAGCAGGCAACUCCAUCAACUCAGCAUCAAGCAACACCAUCAACGCAGCAACGUUCUGCAAUAAUAGAGAAAGGAAAAUCCAACAAAGGAAAAAAUUGGUCUAGUGAUGAGGACAAGGUUCUCAUAGCAGCAUGGGCAAAUACAAGUUUGGAUAUUGUUGGGACUGAUCAAAACCGAGAUGCUUAUUGGGCUAAAAUUUCAGAGUACUACAACACACACAAGGAAUCGUCAUGGCCGGAGCGUAAUCCUAAUGCAAUCAAUUGCCGUUACACAUUGAUUAACAGAGAGACCUCCAAAUUUUGUGGUUGCCUUCAGCAGAUUUUAAAUAAGGAAGAAAGUGGAAGGACUAUAGCAGAAAAGACAAACGAUGCACACAUUCUGUUCAAGGAAAUGGAUGU